AUGCCUACACCACUGCCAUCUUCUAGGGUUUAUAAAAACAUACAAUUGUAUUCUUUGCUCUGCACUACAGUUCAUUUAUCUAUAGCACUAAAUCAACUGAGCUGUUACUGCUCCUUGUUUCCCUUACUGUUACUCUUGAUCUUCCAUUUUUUGUCGUUGUUGAUGGUUUUAGAUCUACUUCCCAGCAGUGACAAAAAUAUGACCAACCAGCUAGACCUCAUCAGACUGGUAAAAUUAUAUCAGUCCAGAAAGUGGUGCUUUCAGACUAGUAAAGAUGUAGUGCAGAGCAAAGAAUACUGUAAAAGUAUAUCAGUCCGGAAAGUGGUGCUUUCAGACUAG
This 339-nucleotide ribosomal RNA is filed under the name Triticum aestivum (bread wheat). Its description in RNAcentral is "partial small subunit ribosomal RNA". The record is from RNAcentral. Lineage: Eukaryota; Viridiplantae; Streptophyta; Magnoliopsida; Poales; Poaceae.